Molecule: long non-coding RNA, 519 nt
Organism: Columba livia (rock pigeon)
Lineage: Eukaryota; Metazoa; Chordata; Aves; Columbiformes; Columbidae
Exons: 3
Source: RefSeq, a predicted model, not a curated record
CAAAGAGCACUGUGAGGGCAAAGUGCCAGCACCGUCACCGCAUCUGCAACAGCCCCACUCCACACACCCUCUCCCCCUGCUCCUGGGAGCCCAUGCAUGCGGGGACCAAGCUCCGAGCGGGGACCAAGCUCUGCUGCUCCUCCAGCCGCUGCUGCUCCUGCCCAAGGCCCAGCAAACCACACUCUGCCUCGCAUACAGCAUCACUGAUGUCAUCACGGCACUACACAAGGAGGAAAAGGAUGACCACCUCAGGAUGCGGCAGAUGUCUGUGGCAGCAGAAUACCCAGGUUUCCUGUGCACUCUUAAACAACAAUGGCGCUGUUACCAUGAAAUGCAUUCUGACCUGAGCUGCUCCGUAUCUUCCAAAGAUAGUGUCGCUGAUGAGAUGUCACACUCCCUGUAGAGCUCUCAGGUGCCAGAACUGGAAAAAGACGGAGAAAGGCAGAAAGGAGCAGCAGAGGGAGUUUGCCUCUUAGAGAUCAGCAUGAGGAAGAAAAUUGGAAUAAAUGUAAAUUUUUC